GAUUACCACUGGCCUUUCAAUUAGUUUUGUUCACAUUCCCCCAGUUAUCACUCAAGCAACUCCCUUUCUGGGGCUCCUGUCUUCUCUGGAGAUCUCUGAAAUGAGGGUGAAGGAUGAUGUGACAACCAUCAGCUCUCAAUCCUCCAGUGUGCUUCUUGUAUACUGAAUAUGAAAAUUCAUGUCUUAUGAAGAAAGGCUGAGACAGCUGGGGCUGUU
Oxyura jamaicensis (ruddy duck) is the source of this 216-nucleotide long non-coding RNA. RefSeq lists it as uncharacterized. NCBI's taxonomy places the organism in Eukaryota, Metazoa, Chordata, Aves, Anseriformes, Anatidae. The transcript is spliced from 3 exons. The record is from RefSeq and is a predicted model, not a curated record.